CGGCAGACAUAUACACAUCAGAGGCAGUCUGCAGAUGGGUGAGGCGCGGCCCCUGGCCUUGCUGGGCUGGAAGGAUGCUCUGGGAGGUCUGGUGUACAUGCGUUUUGACUAGGCAGGACUUGCACCCCACCUUCCAGACAGACAGUGCUUCCUCGCCCAGAACUAGCCCCACUCAUUUCCUGCCUCUCCGCUGCUGGCUCUUGCUGGCGUCUGACCUCAGUGACCUUCACAGAGUUAACCAGGGUGAGAGUGGCACUCCUGAAAAAUGCCUGGACCUUCACGACUCUGCAUCAGCUGCUCCUACUGACUGCGCGUGUGUACUUGUGUGCUCACUCUUUGGUGCAUCCGCGAUGUCCCUUUUUCUGCUGAUUUUUCUAAGGACUCAGGUAGCAGCAGGGGCUCCUGUACAUUUAACUGCUUUCUCAAGGUGGUGCUCCAGAAACCUCCCAUUUCCCUGCAAGUUCCCGGAGAUGUAGAACAGAAAGGAUCCUCCUUUUAUUAACUCUGCUUUUGCUGUCCUUGAUAGACCCUCACUCUAACCAUCUUCCUCUAGCAUGGAUUUAGGGGAAUAUGACUUGGUUUGAGUCUCAGCUCUGCACUGCUAGCUAUGUUAACUAUAAACAAGUCAAUUAAUAUUUGUAAAAUUAGGGCUUUGGAACAGAUGGUCUUUAUACCUUUCCAUAUCAAAACCCUAUGACCCAGGGAGAAAACUCUACCCUUUCCCACACCUCCUUAGGAUGGAAAUAGACCUCGUUCUUUCUAUUAAAAGUAGCAUCGAUUAUUCAACCAUCUUGUGGAGUCUAUGGAAUAAGAAUUUUCAAUCUAGAUAGUUAAAAUGAUAGCUAGUUCUAAAAGACUAACAUACAUGGAUUUAGGGUUUCAGAAAACUACAAGAAACAAGUAACAGAAGAACUCGGGUGUCUGUGAGAAUUUAGCAUGGUAAACAAGUCAUUUCAAAUCAGUAGGAAGAAUACAGAUUAUUUAGUCCAUAUGUUAAUGAGACAACUCAUUGGUAAGUCAGGAAAAAAGUUUAGAUCCCUGUCUUAUGCUACAAAGCAAAUUCUAUAUGACUUGAAAAUAUAAAUGUAAAAAAACAAAAGAGGAUAGUAAAAACAUAGGUAAUCUUGGAAUGAAGGAUACUUUUCUAUCCAUCAAUCAAAAGAAAAAAACAACAGGAACAUUGUAGGUAUACUGAUUCCUUAAAAUAAAAUAAAACAUCUCUAUGUCUACA
Molecule: long non-coding RNA, 1231 nt
Filed under: Bos indicus x Bos taurus (hybrid cattle)
Lineage: Eukaryota; Metazoa; Chordata; Mammalia; Artiodactyla; Bovidae
Description: lncRNA (ENSBIXG00000024237.1)
Source: RNAcentral